AUCAGAACAACUUUGGCUGUGGUAGUUGAAACCUAAGUUUUUAACAAUUUUAAAAUUCAUAAACAGACAAUUUUAGAAAGGUUUGUUAUAAAUCAUGUCAGUACCAAACUGACUACUGGUAAAUUGCACCGCAGAUAUAUAGUAUGUAUUUUUUUUCAUAUAUCCUAUGUAUAUGUGACAAAAUUACUUUUACAACAAUUUGUAUCGUUAUCAGAUUUCAGGUAACCAAUUGGACCAUUAAAUGACAGGAUCAUUUGAUGAACGAUAUUAUUUAGACCGAUUAAAUACCGGGAUUAAGUGGAGUUACAUCAUGCAUAUAAUUUGGUAUUUCAAUGCACUGACCUAUAGCAAUGCUACGUGAAUUGUUUUAAAAUAGUCACAAAGCAAUCAAUGCAAAUAAAGUUGCGUGUUGUCAAAUAUUCGUACGGUUCAAUUUCUGAUAAAUAAGGUAUAAGGUAUUCACGUUUUAUAUAAUAAGAAAAACAAAACAAACUAGAUUUGCUAUUGCAAGCAAUAGCGGAGGAUGGCACCCCGUACUGGACAUUGUCACAGUAGCAUCAACAAUUAUAAGUGUACAAAAGUCAAAUGGCAUAUCUAUUAUACAUGUCGGAAUCAGCAUUUCUGAACCUCCC
This 632-nucleotide long non-coding RNA is filed under the name Mytilus galloprovincialis (Mediterranean mussel). The record is from RNAcentral. Lineage: Eukaryota; Metazoa; Mollusca; Bivalvia; Mytilida; Mytilidae.